Molecule: ribosomal RNA, 271 nt
Filed under: uncultured Leuconostoc sp.
Lineage: Bacteria; Bacillati; Bacillota; Bacilli; Lactobacillales; Lactobacillaceae
Description: partial 16S ribosomal RNA
Rfam family: Bacterial small subunit ribosomal RNA
Source: RNAcentral
AGGUGCUUGCACCUUUCAAGCGAGUGGCGAACGGUGAGUAACACGUGGAUAACCUGCCUCAAGGCUGGGAUAACAUUUGGAAACAGAUGACUAAUACCGAAUAAACUUAGUAUCGCAUGAUAAUAAAGUUAAAAGGCGCUACGGCGUCACCUAGAGAUGGAUCCGCGGUGCAUUAGUUAGUUGGUGGGGUAAAGGCUUACCAAGACAAUAAUGCAUAGCCGAGUUGAGAGACUGAUCGGCCACAUUGGGACUGAGACACGGCCCAAACUCC